CCUACGGGGUGCAGCAGUGAGGAAUAUUGGUCAAUGGACGAGAGUCUGAACCAGCCAAGUAGCGUGAAGGAUGACUGCUCUAUGGGUUGUAAACUUCUUUUAUAUGGGAAUAAAAUGUUCUGCGCGUGGGAUUUUGUAUGUAUCAUAUGAAUAAGGAUCGGCUAACUCCGUGCCAGCAGCCGCGGUAAUACGGAGGAUCCUAGCGUUAUCCGGAUUUAUUGGGUUUAAAGGGAGCGUAGGUGGAUGGUUAAGUCAGUGGUGAAAGUUUGCGGCUCAACCGUAAAAUUGCCGUUGAAACUGGUAGGCUUGAGUACAGUAGAGGUGGGCGGAAUGCGUGGUGUAGCGGUGAAAUGCUUAGAGAUCACGAAGAACUCCGAUUGCGAAGGCAGCUCACUAGACUGCUACUGACACUGAGGCACGAAAGUGUGGGUAGCAAACAGGAUUAGAUACCCGAGUAGUC
RNAcentral lists this ribosomal RNA (460 nucleotides) under uncultured bacterium. Its description in RNAcentral is "partial 16S ribosomal RNA". It matches the Rfam family "Bacterial small subunit ribosomal RNA", at positions 338 to 795 of the family's 1533-position model. The record is from RNAcentral.